RNAcentral lists this ribosomal RNA (420 nucleotides) under uncultured bacterium. Its description in RNAcentral is "bacterial SSU rRNA". It matches the Rfam family "Bacterial small subunit ribosomal RNA", at positions 358 to 772 of the family's 1533-position model. The record is from RNAcentral.
GGAAUUUUGGGCAAUGGGCGAAAGCCUGACCCAGCAACGCCGCGUGAAGGAUGAAAUCCCUCGGGAUGUACACUUCGCAAGAACGGGAAGACUAAGUCUGUGUUAACACCACAGGUGAUGACGGUACCGUUUGUAAGCUCCGGCUAACUCCGUGCCAGCAGCCGCGGUAAUACGGGGGGAGCAAGCGUUGUUCGGAGUUACUGGGCGUAAAGGGCGCGUAGGCGGCCACCGCAAGUCGACUGUGAAAUCUCCGGGCUUAACUCGGAAAGGUCAGCCGAUACUGCGGGGCUAGAGUGCAGAAGGGGCAACUGGAAUUCUCGGUGUAGCGGUGAAAUGCGUAGAUAUCGAGAGGAACACCUGCGGCGAAGGCGGGUUGCUGGGCUGACACUGACGCUGAGGCGCGAAAGCUAGGGGAGCGAA